AAUGACCGCUGCACCGGGGGAGAGUAGGAGGAGGAGCAGCCACAGGAGGGAGUCGUCGCCUGCCGCCCCGUCGCGUGAGGAGGAGGAGGAGCAGGUGCCCCAGGAGGACGCCGAGGAGGCGCAGGAGGACGCGCAGGAGGACGACGAGGAGGCGCAGGAGGACGCGCAGGAGGACGACGAGGAGGAGGCGACAGCAGGGGGUUCCGCUUCCUCUAGUUCGUCGAGCGUCUACUUGUGAGGUCCCGCGAGCCUCCCUCAGCGACCGAUACCUCGUGAGAGACGCCCGCUGAUUCGACCCGAGGGGGAAAAGAACUGGACGAUUGUGGCGAGUGGAGGUUCUCACACACGCCAAGUCAAUGGCAUCCUCGGUCUUCUGUGCAAGGAGCACUUCCCUGGCCUGGUUGAGUACGCCGGAGUGACGGGGCCGGCCUACUCGUUUGACCAUUAUGCCGCCGCCCCCGAUGCUGCAGAUCGGGCCCGCAGGGUAUUCAACAACAAGGCGGAGCGGGUGAAGCAAGAGCUGUGGGAUUUCUUUAGAUGCCAGGACGGACAUGAGGCCAGGGCGGAUGCGGUGGCUACCAAAUGCUGCAAAAAACUCGUCGUGGACAUGCAUUACGAGGCGCGCAUCCAGGCCGUUGUAACUUACCAUGGGACCAUCGUUGGAACGAAGGUCACCAAAAGGGACGCAAGAACCAUGACGCUGA
Phragmites australis (common reed) is the source of this 704-nucleotide long non-coding RNA. RefSeq lists it as uncharacterized. Lineage: Eukaryota; Viridiplantae; Streptophyta; Magnoliopsida; Poales; Poaceae. The record is from RefSeq and is a predicted model, not a curated record. The transcript has 3 exons.